Molecule: ribosomal RNA, 468 nt
Filed under: uncultured bacterium
Lineage: Bacteria
Description: partial 16S ribosomal RNA
Rfam family: Bacterial small subunit ribosomal RNA
Source: RNAcentral
ACGCACGCUGGCGGCGUGCUUAACACAUGCAAGUCGCACGGAAAGGCCCUGCUUGCAGGGUGCUCGAGUGGCGAACGGGUGAGUAACACGUGGGUGAUCUGCCCCUUACUUUGGGAUAAGCCUGGGAAACUGGGUCUAAUACUGGAUAGGACCAUGCUGUAGGUGGUGUGGUGGAAAGAUUAGUUUCGGUAAGGGAUGAGCUCGCGGCCUAUCAGCUUGUUGGUGGGGUAAUGGCCUACCAAGGCGUCGACGGGUAGCCGGCCUGAGAGGGUGGACGGCCACAUUGGGACUGAGAUACGGCCCAGACUCCUACGGGAGGCAGCAGUGGGGAAUAUUGCACAAUGGGCGCAAGCCUGAUGCAGCGACGCCGCGUGGGGGAUGACGGCCUUCGGGUUGUAAACUCCUUUCAGCCAUGACGAAGCCCUUGUGGUGACGGUAGUGGUAGAAGAAGCACCGGCUAACUACGUG